AGUAGCUCCUUUGACGUNGGCGGCGGACGNAGAUGUAACACGUGGAUNACCNACCUAUAAGACUGGGAUAACUUCGGGAAACCGGAGCUAAUACCGGAUAAGAUUUUGAACCGCNUGGUUCAAUANUAAAAGACGGCCUUGCUGUCACUNAUAGAUGGAUCCGCGCCGUAUUAGUUAGUUGGUAAGGUAACGGCUUACCAAGGCAACNAUANGUAGCNGACCUGAGAGGGUGUUCGGCCACACUGGAACUGAGACACGGUCCAGACUCCUACGAGAGGCAGCAGUAGGGAAUCUUCCGCAAUNGGCGAUAGCCUGACGGAGCAACGCCGCGUGAGUGAUGAAGGUCUUCGGAUCGUAAAACUCUGUUAUCAGGGAAGCACAAACGUGUAAGUAACUGUGCACUCUUGACGGUACGCUGAUCAGAAAGCC
Molecule: ribosomal RNA, 429 nt
Filed under: Staphylococcus pasteuri
Lineage: Bacteria; Bacillati; Bacillota; Bacilli; Caryophanales; Staphylococcaceae
Description: partial 16S ribosomal RNA
Rfam family: Bacterial small subunit ribosomal RNA
Source: RNAcentral